RNAcentral lists this ribosomal RNA (638 nucleotides) under Tropocyclops prasinus meridionalis. RNAcentral's name for it is "bacterial SSU rRNA". It matches the Rfam family "Eukaryotic small subunit ribosomal RNA", at positions 1177 to 1797 of the family's 1831-position model. Lineage: Eukaryota; Metazoa; Arthropoda; Copepoda; Cyclopoida; Cyclopidae. The record is from RNAcentral.
UGGAACUUGCGGCUUAAUUUGACUCAACACUGGAAAUCUCACCAGGCCCGGACACCGGAAGGAUUGACAGAUUGAGAGCUCUUUCUCGAUUCGGUGGGUGGUGGUGCAUGGCCGUUCUUAGUUGGUGGAGUGAUUUGUCUGGUUAAUUCCGAUAACGAACGAGACUCCGGCCUGCUAAAUAGUCGCGGGGCCGGACCGCCCUCGCGGCGGAGUAUGCCCCGCGAACCAUUUUCUUCUUAGAGGGACUGACAGCAUCUAGCUGUACGAGAUGGAGCAAUAACAGGUCUGUGAUGCCCUUAGAUGUUCUGGGCUGCACGCGUGUUACACUGAAGGGAUCAGCGUGUCCCUCCCUGGCCGAGAGGCCCGGGUAACCCGCUGAACCCCCUUCGUGGUAGGGAUCGGAGCUUGCAAUUAUUCUCCGUGAACCAGGAAUGCCCAGUAAGCGCAAGUCAUAAGCUUGCGUUGAUUACGUCCCUGCCCUUUGUACACACCGCCCGUCGCUACUACCGAUUGAACGUUUUAGUGAGGCAUUUGGACUGGGCCUCUGGAGUAGCGGGCCGUUCGCGCGGCUCGCCUCCACCGCUUGCCCGGGAAGACUUCCAAACUUGAGCGUUUAGAGGAAGUAAAAGUCGUAACAA